GGGAAGAAGCCUUAGACAACACAAAAAAGGCCAGUGUUGCUGAAAAAUACAGUGGGAGGAAGAAGGGACUAAAAUUACACUGAAGAGGCAAGGGAUCCAGUACCCACACCUUCAGACAUUGGCUGCAUCUCUCAGACUGGAUUGGCUGCAUCUCUCAGACUGGAUCUCUCAGACGUCCUGUUGUGCUGUUAGAAACAGAAAUGUUUCUCUCAGAUCCCUCUUCAAGGAAUGACUUGCUACCAAGCUUUGGGGAAUGGAUUAGCAGACAUCAUCCAGCUGCCAGCUCCUUCAGGCUGGGCCUUAAAUGCAAGGAGCUGCUUCACCUGAAACCAC
Molecule: long non-coding RNA, 333 nt
Filed under: Equus caballus (horse)
Lineage: Eukaryota; Metazoa; Chordata; Mammalia; Perissodactyla; Equidae
Description: lncRNA (ENSECAG00000047686.1)
Source: RNAcentral